Molecule: ribosomal RNA, 274 nt
Filed under: uncultured bacterium
Lineage: Bacteria
Description: partial 16S ribosomal RNA
Rfam family: Bacterial small subunit ribosomal RNA
Source: RNAcentral
AUACAGAGGGUGCAAGCGUUGUUCGGAAUCACUGGGCGUAAAGAGCGUGUAGGCGGUGUGGUAAGUCGGAUGUGAAAGCCCUGGGCUCAACCUAGGAACUGCAUCCGAUACUGCCGUACUAGAGUCCUGGAGGGGGUGGUGGAAUUCCCGGUGUAGAGGUGAAAUUCGUAGAUAUCGGGAGGAACACCUGUGGCGAAGGCGACCACCUGGACAGGCACUGACGCUGAGACGCGAAAGCGUGGGGAGCAAACAGGAUUAGAAACCCCGGUAGUCC